CGCGGGGUGGAGCAGUCUGGUAGCUCGUCGGGCUCAUAACCCGAAGGUCGGAGGUUCAAAUCCUUCCCCCGCAACCA
Molecule: transfer RNA, 77 nt
Filed under: Desulfuromonas sp.
Lineage: Bacteria; Pseudomonadati; Thermodesulfobacteriota; Desulfuromonadia; Desulfuromonadales; Desulfuromonadaceae
Also listed under: 23 other names
Description: tRNA-Met
Rfam family: tRNA
About the family: Transfer RNA (tRNA) molecules are approximately 80 nucleotides in length.
Source: RNAcentral